ACCAGACUCCUACGGGAGGCAGCAGUGGGGGAUAUUGCACAAUGGGGGAAACCCUGAUGCAGCGACGCCGCGCGAGUGAAGAAGUAUUUCGGUAUGUAAAGCUCUAUCAGCAGGGAAGAAAAAAGACGGUACCUGACUAAGAAGCCCCGGCUAACUACGUGCCAGCAGCCGCGGUAAUACGUAGGGGGCAAGCGUUAUCCGGAUUUACUGGGUGUAAAGGGAGCGUAGACGGCAAUACAAGUCGGAAGUGAAAUACCCGGGCUCAACCUGGGAACUGCUUUGGAAACUGUAUGGCUGGAGUGCUGGAGAGGUAAGCGGAAUUCCCAGUGUAGCGGUGAAAUGCGUAGAUAUUAGGAGGAACACCAGUGGCGAAGGCGGCUUACUGGACAGUAACUGACGUUGAGGCUCGAAAGCGUGGGGAGCAAACAGGAUUAGAUACCCGUGUAC
Molecule: ribosomal RNA, 447 nt
Filed under: uncultured bacterium
Lineage: Bacteria
Description: bacterial SSU rRNA
Rfam family: Bacterial small subunit ribosomal RNA
Source: RNAcentral